Long non-coding RNA from Bos taurus (domestic cattle), 855 nucleotides. Lineage: Eukaryota; Metazoa; Chordata; Mammalia; Artiodactyla; Bovidae. The record is from Ensembl.
GGAAAGUAGAACAUCAACAAAGAGCACAGUGACAAGCAGCACCUGCCAGUUCAUUUGUGAUGUUUAAGACGCGGCCUGCAAUUGCAUGAAAUUUUCUCAGAGACCCAGAAAUUUGGCUCCUGUUAUCACGCUUUGUUGCUUCUGUUCAGAUUUAAUGAGGAGUUUGAACUUUCUAGCACCCAUUUUAAAUGUUUUCGGCAGUGGCAGUGGGUCUCCAACUUGAGCGUAGAUUAGAAUCUUCUGAAAGAUUCAUGUUCCCAAUUGCCAGGCCCCUCCCCCUGCGCUCCUGAUUCAGUAGGUUUCUUCUAGGAUCCGGGAAUUUGCAAUUCAAGAUUCACAAGUGAUGCUGCGACUGGUCCGGGGAAAUCACUGCUGAAGUGGAGGCUCUUGCUGUCCCGCCCAGAUCUCCUUUACCAGACUGUGAGCUCCAGAAAAGUAAGAAAUAAUUGGAAUGCCUAGUAUAGUAUGGGCACCAUACUCCUUUGUUGAACGAAUAAAUGCCUAAUGGAAUGGAUAGUUUUGAAAGAGUUGGAGAUUUCCAUGUUCUCACCAGGAAGGUCAGACUUCAUCAUCUAGUGAGUGGCAAAGAUGUUCAACACGGGAAAAGGUUUUGCUUGAAACCAACAUUUUAUAUUUGAAACAACUUAAACACCUAAGCAUCAGGAAUGAGCAUCGCGAAGAGUCAGACACGACUGAGCGAGUGAACUGGACUGAACUGAAAAACCUAAGCAUCAGGAACAACAAAAUGAGAAUUAAAUUAACAACAAGGAAUAACAAUUUUCAUUAAUAUAGGGCAUCAUUGGCACCAGGUUUAUAAGUAUAAUCAAAGACCAUGCAUCUUGUUCAGUUCAGUUC